This 530-nucleotide ribosomal RNA is filed under the name uncultured bacterium. RNAcentral describes it as "bacterial SSU rRNA". It matches the Rfam family "Bacterial small subunit ribosomal RNA", at positions 777 to 1308 of the family's 1533-position model. The record is from RNAcentral.
AAUAGAUACCCGGUAGUCCACGCCGUAAACGAUGAGUGCUAAGUGUUAGGGGGGUUUCCACCCCUUAGUGCUGCAGCUAACGCAUUAAGCACUCCGCCUGGGGAGUACGGUCGCAAGACUGAAACUCAAAGGAAUUGACGGGGGCCCGCACAAGCGGUGGAGCAUGUGGUUUAAUUCGAAGCAACGCGAAGAACCUUACCAGGUCUUGACAUCCCGCUGACCGCUAUGGAGACAUAGCCUUCCCUUCGGGGACAGCGGUGACAGGUGGUGCAUGGUUGUCGUCAGCUCGUGUCGUGAGAUGUUGGGUUAAGUCCCGCAACGAGCGCAACCCUUGUCCUUAGUUGCCAUCAUUCAGUUGGGCACUCUAAGGAGACUGCCGUACAAAUACGGAGGAAGGUGGGGAUGACGUCAAAUCAUCAUGCCCCUUAUGACCUGGGCUACACACGUGCUACAAUGGACGGUACAAACGGUCGCGAAGUCGCGAGCGGAGCCAAUCCGAAAAACCGUUCUCAGUUCGGAUUGCAGGCUGC